GUUAGAGCAGUUCUCGUUCUCGAGUCAAGAACCGGUUGCGUCGGUUUUCGGAUUACCAGUACCUACACUGAACCGAGAACCGUUUCUUUCUGUUACGUCCUAUAUGAGAAAUGAUGAAAAGAGAUACUGCGCAUGGCUGAUUCAGCGUGAAGCUACCGAACAGUACAUUAUUGCCUUCUAUAGCUGUGUCCAAAAGUGAAGUGCACGGACUCCGAAGUGCGCAUUUGAAGUGCGACUGCGUUACAGCGUCGCGAUGUAAGCUGACUUCAAAUGCACCCUCUGUUUCCCAGGAAAAUUUGCCCUGCGUCUCUAUGUCCAUACUAUCCAUCCUAAAUAGUAUGUGAGAUUAGAAUAAGUGUGUCCAAAAGCAUGCUGAAAAAAGUAUGCCAAAAGUCCCCGGAUGGUCUACUAUUUCAGGUCGAUUUUUGAAGUGUGGAUCUGUGCACACUCUAAUGGCUAAAAUUGCCCACAAUCCAUUGCGCUUUGGCAAAAGAUUCGAUCCAGAACUACAAACACAAAUAAAACGUGUUUUAAAUAAAACUACAGAAACUACAAACGUGGUAGAUGCACGCGAUCGGCGGUUAGAGGUUUACAAAAAGGGGUUUGGGUUACUAAUAAUCAACCUUUAACCUGGUGAAAAUAUUUAUUUAUUGUUAUCAGUAUUAUAUUUCAUCUGCAACAGCAAUGUAAGCUUUUGUAAACAUGCAUUUGGUCGUUAGCUUUUAAAUGCAUCAUUAUGGAGAAAAUGAGCAGAGUUCUCUGCAUGAAAGACCCGCAACUGGCAGAUCAACAAGCUACUUCUUUUCUCUCCAGUACAGUAGGAAGUUAAAUGAAGUGAAAUGUGAAGGAUGUUAACUGUGACAAGAUGAUUGACAGGCCAGUUUACAGUGACAGGGUGUGUGUAACAGGUACGACAGAGGGGUCCUUUAAAGAAGCAAUUGUAUGACGUUAUAGUAGCCUAUGUCCCAAAGCUCGCCUACUCUUCUACUACUCACUCAAAAGUGUGUACUUUUUCUUCACCAAAAGAGUACAUACUUUAAGAGCGUAGUAUAAGUAGUCACAUUGAGACGCAGGGGAAGUGUACAUCUGAUGGACAUUUUGCACCCUGCCAUAUCCCAGAAUCACUUGCAUGCAGAUGACGAUGGAAUUUGUUCAAAGAACAUGGAGGAUGACAGUUCUGUGGGGGAAUUCACAUUGAAAUGACUAUUCUGGAGAAAAGGAGCCUGCUGGGGAAAGACACAAGGAUGUGCUGUUUUCUUUCAAAUCAACGCAUAAAUACACUUAUUGAAAACGUAUCCUGACACGGCUGACACAGAAGAACAGCGGAUGAUGAUGUCAUGGACAUACUCAAGUAAAAAACAAAGCUCAGGGGUUCUCCCUAUCAAGGCUGGAGCUAAAGACUGCAGGAGUUGAGAACCCCCGUUCUAGUAGUUACCAGCAGCAGCAGUGUCACCUUUUGCCCCUGUGCAUCGAGGACUCAUUAGAGAGGGGGUGGUCCCUCUCAGUUGAGAUCUGGUCUAGUGCCCUAGGUAUGUGCCUGGUAGGCCUGUUCAUUAAUCCAGCUCUGAAUGCACAGAUGCAUCACAUCAUCAUAAAUAGUAUGACCACGUCUGUACUCAACACACACACACACACACACACACACACACACACACACACACACACACACACACACACACACACACACACACACACACACACACACACACAUUGGGUUUCCAUGUUUAUGGGGACAUUUUACAUAUGUAAUACUAAUGAUUUGUAUACUGUAUAAACCUACCCC
This is a long non-coding RNA of Cyprinus carpio carpio, 1783 nucleotides long. NCBI's taxonomy places the organism in Eukaryota, Metazoa, Chordata, Actinopteri, Cypriniformes, Cyprinidae. The record is from Ensembl.